This 307-nucleotide small RNA is filed under the name Histoplasma capsulatum var. duboisii H88. RNAcentral describes it as "Histoplasma capsulatum H88 hypothetical RNA". Lineage: Eukaryota; Fungi; Ascomycota; Eurotiomycetes; Onygenales; Ajellomycetaceae. The record is from RNAcentral.
GGAAAUUGCAGCGAGCAACUGGAGAAAUCAAAGAAGCUUAUUUCCAGCGAUGAAUUUGCGGAUGCAUAUCAUAAGACCAUAAUCAACAUCUUAGCCAAAGGGAAUGGGCCUCAUUUUCGUCUCCUAACAUUAGGAUAUAGCCCGUUCUUCGACGAAGCCCUUUCUGAUGACUGCAAUAACAGAUCCUUCGGAUUUUGGAAAAUGUGGCAGCCGAAGCUUACGGUGAACUUACGCCAACAGCUAAAUGAAAUCUCCCUCGAACUGAACAACAAGAUUGUUCAUCUCAUCAAGGACUUAGAUGAUGAGC